Molecule: ribosomal RNA, 460 nt
Filed under: uncultured bacterium
Lineage: Bacteria
Description: partial 16S ribosomal RNA
Rfam family: Bacterial small subunit ribosomal RNA
Source: RNAcentral
CCUACGGGUGGCAGCAGUGAGGAAUAUUGGUCAAUGGGCGGAAGCCUGAACCAGCCAAGUAGCGUGCAGGAUGACGGCCCUACGGGUUGUAAACUGCUUUUAUACGGGAAUAACGCGCCUUACGUGUAGGGCUUUGUAUGUACUUUAUGAAUAAGGAUCGGCUAACUCCGUGCCAGCAGCCGCGGUAAUACGGAGGAUCCGAGCGUUAUCCGGAUUUAUUGGGUUUAAAGGGAGCGUAGAUGGGUUGUUAAGUCAGUUGUGAAAGUUUGCGGCUCAACCGUAAAAUUGCAAUUGAUACUGGCAGCCUUGAGUACAGUUGAGGUAGGCGGAAUUCGUGGUGUAGCGGUGAAAUGCUUAGAUAUCACGAAGAACUCCGAUUGCGAAGGCAGCUUACUAAACUGCCACUGACAUUGAUGCUCGAAAGUGUGGGUAUCAAACAGGAUUAGAUACCCGGGUAGUC